AGUAUAGUAUAAUGGUUAGUAUGUCGGUCUCCAAAACCGAAGAUGUUGGUUCGAUUCCAGCUACUU
RNAcentral lists this transfer RNA (66 nucleotides) under Leptotrichia wadei. It matches the Rfam family "tRNA". Rfam says of the family: Transfer RNA (tRNA) molecules are approximately 80 nucleotides in length. Their secondary structure includes four short double-helical elements and three loops (D, anti-codon, and T loops). The record is from RNAcentral. Lineage: Bacteria; Fusobacteriati; Fusobacteriota; Fusobacteriia; Fusobacteriales; Leptotrichiaceae.